GUGGGGAAUCUUCCGCAAUGGGCGAAAGCCUGACGGAGCAACGCCGCGUGAGUGAAGAAGGCCUUCGGGCCGUAAAGCUCUGUUGCCGGGGAAGAGUGCUAUGGGGGAACCUGUAGAGGGACGGUACCCGGCGAGGAAGCCGCGGCUAACUACGUGCCAGCAGCCGCGGUAAUACGUAGGCGGCAAGCGUUGUCCGGAAUCAUUGGGCGUAAAGGGGGCGCAGGCGGGAACAUAAGUCUUUCCUGAAAGUUCGGGGCUCAGCCCCGUGAUGGGAAGGAAACUGUGUUUCUUGAGCGCGGGAGAGGGAAGCGGAAUUCCUGGUGUAGCGGUGAAAUGCGUAGAUAUCAGGAAGAACACCAGUGGCGAAGGCGGCUUCCUGGACCGCGGCUGACGCUGAGGCCCGAAAGCCAGGGGAGCGAACGGG
This 424-nucleotide ribosomal RNA is filed under the name uncultured rumen bacterium. RNAcentral describes it as "bacterial SSU rRNA". It matches the Rfam family "Bacterial small subunit ribosomal RNA", at positions 354 to 776 of the family's 1533-position model. The record is from RNAcentral.